CCCUUAGAUGUUCUGGGCUGCACGCGCGCUACACUGACACACUCAGCGAGUCUCCUGGCCCGAGAGGGUUGGGUAAUCAUGUGAGCGUGUGUCGUGAUGGGGAUAGAAUAUUGUAAUUAUUGCUCUUCAACGAGGAAUUCCUAGUAAGCGCGAGUCAGCAGCUCGCGCUGAUUACGUCCCUGCCCUUUGUACACACCGCCCGUCGCUCCUACCGAUGGGGUGAUCCGGUGAAAUCUCGGGACGGCGGCUUGGUCGCUUGCGUCCGACUGCUGAAACUUGAUUAAACCAUAUCAUUUAGAGGAAGGUGAAGUCGUAACA
This 318-nucleotide ribosomal RNA is filed under the name uncultured eukaryote. RNAcentral's name for it is "partial 18S ribosomal RNA". It matches the Rfam family "Eukaryotic small subunit ribosomal RNA", at positions 1470 to 1796 of the family's 1831-position model. The record is from RNAcentral.